UCCCUGAUAGCUCAGUUGGUAAAGAAUCUGCCUGCAAUGCAGGAGACCCUGGUUUGAUUCCUGGGUCGGGAA
Bos taurus (domestic cattle) is the source of this 72-nucleotide non-coding RNA. The record is from Rfam. Lineage: Eukaryota; Metazoa; Chordata; Mammalia; Artiodactyla; Bovidae.